Molecule: long non-coding RNA, 454 nt
Filed under: Mus pahari (shrew mouse)
Lineage: Eukaryota; Metazoa; Chordata; Mammalia; Rodentia; Muridae
Description: lncRNA (MGP_PahariEiJ_G0005335.1)
Source: RNAcentral
UGAGGUGUACAGGCCUCUCUGAGUUCACCAGGUUUCCAGGUGUCCAGGUCUCUGUGAGGUAACCAGGUCUUUGUGAGGUGACCAGGCCUCUCUGAGUUCACCAGGUCUCUUUGAAUUGACCAGUCCUCUGUAAGGUGGAGGCGUACCUUCUUCCCCAGCUGCUGUUCUGUUCCAAAGGACGAUGCUGGCAAGUCCCAAACCCUCUCCAGCUAUCAUGAUGAACACCUUGCAGAAGAAAGAAGUCUGGAGCAGAGAAAGAUGACUGGAUGGGGCAGCUGGGAAGGGCUCUUACCACCAAGUCAUAAGGCCCAACUUUGAUCCCUAAAGCUCACACAGCAAAGGAGUGGGACAGCUCCUGAAAGCUACCCUCUGACCUCCACCUUAUGCCUCCUUCACAAAGAAACAAAUCAAGAUAAAUAAAUAAAUGUAUGCAGUUUAAAAAAAAAAAAAAAAG